This 88-nucleotide transfer RNA is filed under the name Steroidobacter denitrificans. It matches the Rfam family "tRNA". Rfam says of the family: Transfer RNA (tRNA) molecules are approximately 80 nucleotides in length. Their secondary structure includes four short double-helical elements and three loops (D, anti-codon, and T loops). Lineage: Bacteria; Pseudomonadati; Pseudomonadota; Gammaproteobacteria; Steroidobacterales; Steroidobacteraceae. The record is from Rfam by way of RNAcentral.
GGUGGGGUGGCCGAGUGGUUUAAGGCAGUAGUCUUGAAAACUACCGAAGAUUCAACGUCUUCCGUGGGUUCGAAUCCCACCCCCACCG